UGCAGUCGAACGGUGAUCGAGUGCUUGCACUCGUGGAUCAGUGGCGAACGGGUGAGUAACACGUGAGUAACCUGCCCUCCACUCUGGGAUAAGCGCUGGAAACGGCGUCUAAUACCGGAUAUGACCGACCCUCGCAUGGGGUGUUGGUGGAAAGAUUUAUCGGUGGUGGAUGGACUCGCGGCCUAUCAGCUUGUUGGUGGGGUAAAGGCCUACCAAGGCGACGACGGGUAGCCGGCCUGAGAGGGCGACCGGCCACACUGGGACUGAGACACGGCCCAGACUCCUACGGGAGGCAGCAGUGGGGAAUAUUGCACAAUGGGCGAAAGCCUGAUGCAGCGACGCCGCGUGAGGGAUGACGGCCUUCGGGUUGUAAACCUCUUUCAGCAGGGAAGAAGCUUUUGUGACGGUACCUGCAGAAGAAGCACCGGCUAACUACGUGCCAGCAGCCGCGGUAAUACGUAGGGUGCGAGCGUUGUCCGGAAUUAUUGGGCGUAAAGAGCUUGUAUGCGGUUUGUCGCGUCUGCUGUGAAAAUCUAGGGCUUAACCCUGGACGUGCAGUGGGUACGGGCAGACUAGAGUAUGGUAGGGGAGACUGGAAUUCCUGGUGUAGCGGUGGAAUGCGCAGAUAUCAGGAGGAACACCGAUGGCGAAGGCAGGUCUCUGGGCCAUUACUGACGCUGA
This 681-nucleotide ribosomal RNA is filed under the name bacterium SCSIO13320. Its description in RNAcentral is "bacterial SSU rRNA". It matches the Rfam family "Bacterial small subunit ribosomal RNA", at positions 56 to 749 of the family's 1533-position model. The record is from RNAcentral.